CCUACGGGUGGCAGCAGUGAGGCAUAUUGGUCAAUGGGCGCAAGCCUGAACCAGCCAAGUCGCGUGAGGGAAGACGGCCCUACGGGUUGUAAACCUCUUUUGCCGGGGAGCAAGCCUGAGCACGUGUGCCCAGGCGGCGUGUACCCGAAGAAAAAGCAUCGGCUAACUCCGUGCCAGCAGCCGCGGUAAUACGGAGGAUGCGAGCGUUAUCCGGAUUUAUUGGGUUUAAAGGGUGCGUAGGCGGUCCGGAAAGUCAGCGGUAAAAGCCCGGGGCUCAACCCCGGCGAGCCGUUGAAACUGUCGGACUAGAGACGGCGAGAAGUACGCGGAAUGCGCGGUGUAGCGGUGAAAUGCAUAGAUAUCGCGCAGAACUCCGAUUGCGAAGGCAGCGUACCGGCGCCGGACUGACGCUGAGGCACGAAAGCGUGGGUAUCGAACAGGAUUAGAUACCCGUGUAGUC
This 460-nucleotide ribosomal RNA is filed under the name uncultured bacterium. Its description in RNAcentral is "partial 16S ribosomal RNA". It matches the Rfam family "Bacterial small subunit ribosomal RNA", at positions 338 to 795 of the family's 1533-position model. The record is from RNAcentral.